UUCAGCUGGAAAAUCACCUACCGCCAGCACUACUGUAGCAGCAGCAGUAAGUCCUGGGACAGUAGUCUAACUAGCUUAGACGGAGUUGUGAUGGUUUUAAAUCUUUGGCCAUGUCUGAAAUGCUGUUGAAAGACAUGGAUGAGAUUUCUCUCGGGCCUGUUAAAAUGGACGAGCAGAAGGAAAAUGGACGGAGUUUUCUCCUGGUGGACGAAAACGAAAGCUUGCAGGUGAAAAAUGAAGCUCAUUUUCUGCAGAAGCUGGGCUGCAGUGGCGCUCAGGGAGUGAAAGUGGUUUCCAUCUUUGGCAACACGGGCGACGGCAAGUCCCACACUCUCAACCACGUCCUUUUUGACCGCGAGGAGGUUUUUGCCACGUCUCCCUCUCCAUCCUCCUGCACUGUGGGUGUCUGGGCUGCUUAUGACCCACAGCUGAACCUGAUUGUGCUGGACACUGAAGGCCUACUCGGGGCCGCCACUCAGCAGAAUCGCCGAAUGCGUCUGCUGCUCAAGGUCCUGGCCGUAUCAGACGUGGUCAUUUACCGCACACGGGCCGAGAGGCUGCACAAUGACAUGUUCCAGUUCCUCGGCAGUGCAUCCGCCGCUUACCUAAAGCACUUCACACCUGAGCUCCGGGCGCUGUCGAGCCGAUGUGGGCUAGACGUGCCUCUCUCCAGCCUUGGACCCGCCAUCAUUGUUUUCCAGGAGACGUCCCGCACUCAGCUGCUGGGCCAGGACGUCUCAGGCCUCGGGCAGGCAGACACGCUGCUGCAGAAGCGCUUUCAUGACCUGGGCCAGAGCACAGACGCCUUCAGUUCGGUUCAGUAUGUGGGCACACAGACCAUCACUCCCCCCACAGACUACUCACAGCUACAGCACACGGUCCAGCAGCAAGUCAGCAACACAUCUCAGAGAGCCCCGCGCCAGCCUGCCAUUGUGUUCAGUGCACUGCAGGCCCUGAGCGACAGGUUCUGCGGAGAGAUCUCAGAUGACAAAUUCAGCAUAUGCUCCUUCUUUCCUGAUGAAUAUUUCACUUGCCCAUCAGUCUGUCUCAGCUGCAAAGAAAACGUCCACUGAAGUUAAAGCGGUACACAGAACUCAUCUUAAAAAGAAAAAGCUGAGAAGAACAGAAGUGUGAUUCGGCUGUAAAACAGAUGAAGAUCAAAGACCAUUCCAUGUCAUGCAGGCAGGUUUCUUAGUCCACAAUUGACAGGCUUGUAGUUGCGUUUGUCUGUGAAAGCCCUUAUCUGUUUACCAUAGUUGAACUUCCAACACUCAAAAAUCUGAUACACACUAUGCAGCCUAGCUGUACAGUUAUGUCCAGACCAACUGUGAAGCUGAGAAUUUAGGAUGCAGCCAUUGCUGAGAUGGCAAAGGUCAGCCAUAUAGGUACCACUACUGAUUGCUGGACUGCUUGACAGUGGAGUUACAUCGGUGUAACCGCACACUGGAUUGAUGAGUCUACACUGGAAAAGAGGCCUGCUCCUUAUCAGAAGAACAACUGAUUGUGGGUCGAAUUUUAUUAAAGCUUUUAAGGUGUAUGGUAAAAAGAGUCAGGAAGAGUUGAUUGAUGUUGACUCGGAGCCAGUGACACUGGAGAGCAAAGAAGAUGGAGAAGUUGUUGAGGUUCAGUACACCUGUUCAAUCUUAAAAACAAACAACGGGUUAGAGUAUCAUCUACCAAGCAUCAGCAUUGCGCAUGUCAUCUUCUUAAUUUGGUAGCUACUGUGGAUGAUUUCAAAGCAGAGGAUUGAGAGGACAGCAGUGAGGUAUACAAGAAGCUUACACAUUCAACAUUUGCAAAAUGCCAGGCAUUAUACAAUAAAACCAGCAGGUCUGCCAUCAAUGCUGAGAUCGUCCAAGAAGAGUCAAAAAAUACAGUUCAUUCAGCCCAACAGCACAAGAACUUGGUGUACAAUUCUGCAGAGAGGAAAAUACGGAUCCUAAAGGAACAGGGAGAAGCAUCCCUUCCGAAUAUUUGUGCAUCAUUUAAAAUCAAAAUGCUAAAUCCUGCUGAAAUGUCUUACCUCUCUGAAUACUGCAUCGUGACGAAGCCUGUGUCCAUGGCUUUAAACAUUCUUCAGUCUGAAACAAACACUCAGAUGGGGUGGCUCCUUCCCACCAUCUACCUUCUUGAAUCCAAGCUCAAAAAGAUUGAGACUUCAGUCAAGGUAUGUUUUCCCUUAUUCAUGCUCUCCGGAAAGGUCUACAAAAGUGCUUCGGGGAGUUCAUGGAAGAUACAGAACUCAUCAGUGCUGCAAUUCUUCUUCCAAAAUUCAAAACGUCAUGGACAGACAAGACCUACAUCAUAAAAGCAGGUAUGGACUACAUCCUUCACCAUCUUGAUUCCAUUAAGUGCACCCAUCCAAAUGAAGCACAACUUGAUGUUUCUGACGAGGAUUACUUUUUUUCUUCCAUUAAGACUGUUCCAUCCCCAACUGAAUCUGAAUUGGAUGGGUACUCGGCUUGUGCCUCAGAAGAGAUGGGAUUGCUUUACUCAUUUCCUUUGGUGAAAAAACUAAGCCUCAAACACACCCCUGCCUGCUUCUGCAGCAUGCAAGCAUCUUUUUAGUUGUGCUGGGCAACUGUUUACAACAAAACGAGCAAGACUGGACAGUACAAAUUUUGAGAACCAGUUCAUUGUGAAAUUUAACAACACGUUUAAAAUUUAGUUGUUGUUUUUUUCCCCCCUACACUUAAAAUUGCAAGUCUACAUUCAUAUUGUGGGGGUCGGUUAACCCAUGUUGUAUUCAUUUGUUUAAUUUCCUAAUUUGUGCUACAGGCUCAACUUUUAUGUUUAUGUACAAUUCUUUUCAACAUUUUAUUUAUUUAUUUUUUUAAAUUGGCCUGCAAGAAUAUUUUUGUAGAAAGGUUAUCAUAACUGAUUAUAGGCUGCUUAUUGUUAUUAUUGAUAUUUUAAAACAUAACAUGCCAGGAUGUUCAGUGCUCGCAGUCAUAAAUAAAACUGUUGGGG
Molecule: non-coding RNA, 2970 nt
Organism: Danio rerio (zebrafish)
Lineage: Eukaryota; Metazoa; Chordata; Actinopteri; Cypriniformes; Danionidae
Source: RefSeq, a predicted model, not a curated record